This 405-nucleotide ribosomal RNA is filed under the name uncultured prokaryote. RNAcentral describes it as "bacterial SSU rRNA". It matches the Rfam family "Bacterial small subunit ribosomal RNA", at positions 355 to 774 of the family's 1533-position model. The record is from RNAcentral.
UGGGGAAUAUUGGGCAAUGGGCGCAAGCCUGACCCAGCAACGCCGCGUGAUUGAAGAAGGUCUUCGGAUUGUAAAAAUCUGUCCUUGGGGACGAAAAAAAUGACGGUACCCAAGGAGGAAGCCCCGGCUAACUACGUGCCAGCAGCCGCGGUAAUACGUAGGGGGCAAGCGUUGUCCGGAAUUACUGGGCGUAAAGGGUGCGUAGGCGGCGCUUUAAGUCAGAUGUGAAAUACCCAGGCUUAACCUGGGGGGUGCAUUUGAAACUGGAGCACUUGAGUGCAGGAGAGGAAAGUGGAAUUCCUAGUGUAGCGGUGAAAUGCGUAGAUAUUAGGAGGAACACCAGUGGCGAAGGCGACUUUCUGGACUGUAACUGACGCUGAGGCACGAAAGCGUGGGGAGCAAACA